Molecule: ribosomal RNA, 194 nt
Filed under: uncultured marine bacterium
Lineage: Bacteria
Description: partial 16S ribosomal RNA
Rfam family: Bacterial small subunit ribosomal RNA
Source: RNAcentral
CCUACGGGAGGCAGCAGUCGGGAAUAUUGGACAAUGGGCGCAAGCCUGAUCCAGCCAUACCGCGUGUGUGAAGAAGGCCUUCGGGUUGUAAAGCACUUUAAGCAGGGAGAAAAAGUUAUAAGUUAAUACCUUAUAACCGUGAUGUUACCUGCAGAAUAAGCACCGGCUAAUUCCGUGCCAGCAGCCGCGGUAAA